RNAcentral lists this ribosomal RNA (497 nucleotides) under uncultured bacterium. RNAcentral describes it as "partial 16S ribosomal RNA". It matches the Rfam family "Bacterial small subunit ribosomal RNA", at positions 28 to 507 of the family's 1533-position model. The record is from RNAcentral.
GAUGAACGCUGGCGGCGUGCCUAAUACAUGCAAGUCGAGCGAACAGACGAGGAGCUUGCUCCUCUGACGUUAGCGGCGGACGGGUGAGUAACACGUGGAUAACCUACCUAUAAGACUGGGAUAACUUCGGGAAACCGGAGCUAAUACCGGAUAAUAUAUUGAACCGCAUGGUUCAAUAGUGAAAGACGGUUUUGCUGUCACUUAUAGAUGGAUCCGCGCCGCAUUAGCUAGUUGGUAAGGUAACGGCUUACCAAGGCAACGAUGCGUAGCCGACCUGAGAGGGGGAUCGGCCACACUGGAACUGAGACACGGUCCAGACUCCUACGGGAGGCAGCAGUAGGGAAUCUUCCGCAAAGGGCGAAAGCUUGACGGAGCAACGCCGCGUGAGUGAUGAAGGUCUUCGGAUCGUAAAACUCUGUUAUUAGGGAAGAACAAAUGUGUAAGUAACUAUGCACGUCUUGAUGGUACCUAAUCAGAAAGCCACGGCUAACUACGUG